This 468-nucleotide ribosomal RNA is filed under the name uncultured bacterium. RNAcentral's name for it is "partial 16S ribosomal RNA". It matches the Rfam family "Bacterial small subunit ribosomal RNA", at positions 28 to 507 of the family's 1533-position model. The record is from RNAcentral.
GACGAACGCUGGCGGCGUGCUUAACACAUGCAAGUCGAACGGAAAGGCCCUGCUUUUGUGGGGUUAUCGAGUGGCGAACGGGUGAGUAACACGUGAGUAACCUGCUCUUGACUUUGGGAUAACUUCAGGAAACUGGAGCUACUACCGGAUAGGAGCUCCUGCUGCGUGGUGGGGGUUGGAAAGUCUCGGCGGUCGGGGAUGGACUCGCGGCUUAUCAGCUAGUUGGUGGGGUAGUGGCUUACCAAGGCUUUGGCGGGUAGGCGGCAUGAGAGGGUGGCCGGGGACAAUAGGACUAAGGGACGGAGCAGAGUCGAACAGGGGGCAAUGGGGGGAAGUAUGGCCCAGUGAGAGGGAGUGUGUGGCGGAAGCGCCGGGUUUGGAAAGACGUCUUGUGGGUUAUGAACAGCAUUAGCCUGAGACGAAGCUGGUGUGACGGUAAUGAGUGAAGAAGCACCGGCUAACUACGUG